Molecule: long non-coding RNA, 410 nt
Filed under: Malus domestica (apple)
Lineage: Eukaryota; Viridiplantae; Streptophyta; Magnoliopsida; Rosales; Rosaceae
Description: long non-coding RNA (MDOM_LNC011361)
Source: RNAcentral
CCAUAUCAGCAGGGUGGAACGUACUCUAGAUUUGAUGGACUUGUUUUGACCCUCAAAUUCUUCAGUCGGCCUUAUACUCUGGAGGAAACCAGAAAACCCUCCAGCUCAGUUCAAGAAUAAGCCUGUGGAAAGUUACUUCUUCAAAAGCAAAAGUAUCUCAUAUCAUCUCUUCUCAUCUUUCUUCUCUUUAUCCUUCAUGCUGCUGGAAGAUGGGGAGAAGGUGAACAAUCAGUCGGAGCUCUGAUUGCUUACCUUGUCUGUCACCUCUUUCAGCAGACCCCCUAGCUCGGCGACUUGGGGGACUCCUACUACAUGGUUUGUAUCGCGCUUGACCAAGCCUGAAACUACAAGUAAGCUUCAAGUGAAAUUGAUACAUUACCUUGUGCAUCUCCACCAGUUAAAGAUACCAC